UGGAUGGCAUCACUGACUCAAUAGACAUGAGUUUGAAUAAGCUCUGAGAUGGUGAAGGACAGGGAAGCCUGUGUUGCAGUCCAUGGGUUGGCAAGGAGUCAGACACAACUGAAGUGACUUGGCUUGCACACACGUCUUCACAGCAGAGUGUUUCCUGAAAGUCUCAGUCUAUGACAGUGAUGCUCCUGGCCAGAACUGCCUGUGGUGCUCAUGUCGAUCAUCCCACCUGCAGCAGCCCCUACAGGCAUCUCCCUGACCGGGGUCCAAGGGUGUGGCUGGGUCAGGCGUCGUGGGUCUUAUGACUGCAGAAUGCACCUCAGCAACACGCGCCAGGAAACUUUGGAAAAAAGAAGAUUUAUGACUCAGCAGUCCUGGAGGAUGUGCAGCACACCCUGACCACAUACUGAGGUCAAGGUUAAGGGAGGGAAGGAGUGAGGACCGGGGGCUCGGCCUUUAUUAGGGUCCCGGGUGGGGUGCUCUGUGUUUUGUACGUUAUUUCAAUUAUUGGCAAAUUGAAAGCAUAAGGGUAGAAACUGGGGUGCAGGCAGAGAGGAGUGGGUCACUCGGCGGGUCAGUUAUCUGGGUCACCCCGGCCCUUCUGAAAGGGGACCUGCCUGGGUGGCCGGCUCCUCACCGAGUUGUGUAGCUAUUGUCUUUGAAGAGGGUGCCUCCACAGUCACAAGCUGAUGGUCAGGAACGUACUGUCCUGGCGGGGGAGCUGGCCUUGGAGCCUGGACCCUGACCUCAUCUGUGCAAACCCUCCACCUGGGCACAUGGGCAGAGGGGACGAUGCCUCUGGGUGAGUAGCUCUGGUCCCAUGGCCAGUCUGGAAGUGAAUGGCAGUGUCUCCCCUACGAUGAAGGGGGCAUCUUCCCCUCUGCCUGGCACAGUGCACCAGGACAAAGGGAAUGAUUGGCCUGCUCCACGAGCAGCUCCUUCUGAAGCUGCCAGCCUUGAAGGGAAAGGAGAGGGCGGGGGCCGCUGGGACCGUCUGCUUCUCGUUAGGCAGUGCAGAGAGUGAGGCAUGGGUGGAGUUCAUUAUCGCCAGUAUAUGGUUUAUCCUAAGGAUGAAUAAAUACACUUCCUUGACCUACCUCAAUGGAAAGGAAUGAUGCCUCAGGACACUUAUCAAUUAAAAAAAAUCUGAUUUUAACUUUUGGGGAACAGUUUUAGAUUUAUUCCUUUGCAUACCAUUUCUAAUGAUGUUUUUUGACUUCUAAGAAGACAUUUUUGAUUGACCGUAAAGAAUAAAACAGUCUUUGUGGUGUCCAAACCAUGUUCCACAAAUUCAGCCUGGAAGCAUCUGUAAAAAGGAAACAAACCAACCAAAAGAUGCCACACAGACUUUCAGAGACUAGAAUGUAACCUUAAAGAAAAUGUUGACUGCAAAGCAGGCAUUCCAUUGAGUUUUGACGUAGUUUGGAUGGUGUAUUUCCUGUGAAACUGACUUAGCUGUGAAGGCCCACCUGCCUUUUCUCCACAUCACUCCCUUCCUUCUGCAUCCACAGACCCUGCCAUUGUUUGGGGUGGCAUUUUCCAGGUAAAAACAUUGACACUGCUUGUUGGGGGGGAUGAUCCCGUGAUAUGAGCAGUCAGAAGUAAGUGGGAGACUGCUGGAAGCUACUGGGACAUUUCAUUUUCUUAUUUUUGCUUAUGUCAUUUUUUCCUUGAUACUGUUUUCCAGAUUGAAAUGUGAAUUUGGUUGGCUUUGGGACCAAAGUGGUCGUCUUGGGACCAUGAAGUAAAGACUGAGGAUCAUAGACCUUUUCUCCUGCCAGCCUUCCCACCCCUCACAAUUGACCAAAGGUGUCCAUUCUACUUCCAAAACCAGGCAGAGAGGAACUGGGAAACCUGACUGCCAUUGGCAGGGUCUGCUGCUUCCCAGUAGAUUCUGCUGUGUUUGAAUGGUGUUGCUGAGCACUGAUGUGUCCUAGCCUGCCCUUGCUACAGCCUGUCUUUUAAAUAAUUUAUCUGAAAAUGUCAUCAUUUCAUCUGUAUCCUGGGAUGAUAUUUUUGCUGGGUGUACCAUCUAGGUUUGCAGUUAUUUUCUUUCAGUCCUUUAAAAACAUGCUUCCAUUGUCAUUGGCUCUCACUGGUCCUGUAAGAAGUCAGCUAUCAGUCUAUUUAUUACUCCUUUAAAGGAAUUUGCCUUUUGGUUCAGGUUGUUUGGGACUCUUUGUGCUUCCUGGACCUGCAUGUCUCUUUUUUUCAGUAGGUUAGGAAUGUUUUCAGCUAUUAUUUCUCCCACUGGGUUUUCUUUUCCUUUAUCUUUCUCUUCUCCCUCUGGGACCCUUAUAUGGCAAUGUUUGUAAGCCUGAUGUUGUCUCUUAAACUAUCUUCUUUUUUUUUUUUUUUUUUGCUGGUUCUGAUGGGAGUGAUUUCUACCAGACUGUCUUCCAGAUCCCCAGUCUAUUCUUCUGUAUCAUCUAAUUUGCUCCUGGUUUCCUCUAGUAUAUUUUAAAAAUUUUAGUUAUUGUAUUCUUCAGCUCUGAUUCAGUUCUUUUUAAUAUUUUAUCUCUUUGUUGAAGUUCUCAAUGUGUUCCUCCAUUCUUCUGAGUUCAGUGAGUAAUUUUAUUGCUGUUACUUUUUAAUAUUUAUUUUUAUUUAUUUGACUGCACUAGAUCUUAAUCAUAGCUUGUGGGAUUUAGUUACCUGACCAGGGACUGAAACCUGGCCCCCCACAUUGGGAGCGUGGAGUCCCAGCCUCUCAACCACCAGGGAAGUCCCUACUCUUGACCCUUUACCUGGAAGAUUGCUUAUCUCUGUUUUGUUUAGUUCUUUUCCUGAAGUUUUGUCUUGUUCUUUUGUUUGGGACAUAUUCCCUUGUCUCCUCAUUGUGCCUAACUGUCCAAAACAUAUGGACAUUGGUGUUUUGCAAAAGCUCCUUGUGAUUUUAAUGAAUACUGAGAUUGAGAUUUUCCCAGCAUAAAAUAUGAUAAAGGUAGUACUAAAAGGGAAAACAACAGCCUAAUCUCACACAUGGAUAUAGCUGCAAAAAUAAAAUAUUAAUAUAUAAAAGUCAACCAUCAUAAAAAUUUCACUAAAUAGACUUUAUUGCAGUAACACAUGAAUGAGUCCCCCACAGAAAAGUUAUGAGCAUAAUUUAUUACUUUGCAUUUCCUAUGGAGAAAACCCAUAAGAAUCUUUCAAUACAUGUUGAAAAUUUAACAACCAAAUAAAAACUUUUUAAUACGAAUGGAAAGAAAUUACUGAGAUGUAAUAAAAUCUGUUUCGUAGAUAUUAUACUUCCUACCAAUACCUGGUUUCUGUCUGCUUCCAGCCAUCCUGGUCAGGUGCCUUGAAGCUCUGUGGGUGGAGUCGUGGUGCGGGUGGGGAGGUGAGAAGCCUAUGUGUUCUUCCUUACUCAGUGAUCCAGGAAGCUUUGUGUUGUGGUGGCAGAGUCAUGGGAUUGAGACAUGAUUUUCCAUGGGGAACAGCAUGCCUGGGGUUUAUCCAGACCCAGUAUGUGAAUCCACUGAGAUUUUGGAGUUGUUUGUUACCACAGAGAAGAUAACCUCUUUUGACCAGAGGUUUUGGGAAAAGUUUGCCUGCAAAGGGCCCAAAUAGUAAAUAUUUCAGAUAUUACAGGACAUGUGUGGUCUCUGUCACAACUACUCAACACAUCCGUUGUAGCAAAGAGCCACCAUAGAUAAUAUGUAGUUGAGGGAGCAUGCCCUGUUCCAGUAAAACUUAAUUUAUGAAAGAAGGCAGCGGUUGAAACAUAAAACAUACAGCCUUUCUUUCUGGGUCUGACUUUACUCACAGAAGACCCUCCUGGUCCAUCCGUGUUGCUGCAAAUGGCAAAGUUUCUCUCUUCUCUGUGGCUGAGUAGUAGUCCAGUGCCUGUGUGUGUUUGUAUUCACACACCCAGUUAUUGGUUGAUGGACACUGAGGUUAUUGCCAUGUAUUGGCUAUUGUCAAUACUGCUGCUGUGAACGUUGGAGUGCAGGCACCUUUUCUGGUUAGUGUUUUCAUUUUCUUUGAAUACAAACCCAGGAGUGGAAUUGUAGGGUCAUAUGCUAGUUCUGUUUUUAAUGUUUUGAGGAACCUCCAUACCGUUUUCCACAGUGGCUGCAUCAAUUUAUAUUCCCACCACCGCCGUAUCAGGGUUCCCUUUUCGCCACACCCUCGCCAGCGUUUAUUACUGUCUCUUUGGUGGUAGUCUCCUGACAGGUAUGAGGUGAUAUCUCAUUGUGGUUUUGAUUUUCAUUUCACAAGCCUGUUGACCAUUUUUUGUAUGUCUUCUUUGGGGAAAUGUCUAUUCUUCUGCUCAUUUGAAAAUUGAAUUGUUUGCUCUUUUCAUCGACUCAAUGGACAAAAGUUUGAGCAAACUCUGGGAGCUGGUAAAGGACAGGGAAGCUGGCAUGCUGCAGUCCAUGGAGUUACAAAGAGUCAGAUACGGCUGAGUGACUGAACAACAAUAUGAAAAUAUAUAUGGAUAUAUAGAGAUCCAUAUGUACAUGCAUAUAUAUUUGGCCACACCUCGUGGCCUGUGGGAUCUUGGUUCCCUAACCCGGGUUGAGCCCGGCCUGCAGCAUUGAAGGCUCUGAAUCCUGGCCACUAGGCCGCCAGGGAGCUCCCUGUUUGUUCGCUUUCCAGUUGUUUGAGUUUUUUAAUAUUUUUUUUUAUAUUAACCCCUUAUCAUAUAUAUGAUGUGCAGACAUUUUCUCUUAUUCCAUAGGUUGCCUUCUCUUUUUGUUGAUGGCUUUCUUUGCUGUGCAGAAGCUUUUUAGUUUGACCCCACGUGAUCAUUCUUGCAUGUUUUAGGUGAGCACAGGGCUCUCGCAGUCAGUUGGUUAGCAGGGGAGCUGGGCAGUUGGGCGUGCAGACUGCCCUCUGCACGCCUCCCAUUAGGCGGGGGCACAGCGCAUGAACGUAGGAGCUUCGACGUCAUGAGCAACAGGAACAAAAUAAGGAAGCUUGUUCUUCUGGCUCCGCUGCAGCUGCUGGAGGAGGGCAGGCAGGGAGGCUCCGGCUGACGCCUGCCUGCUGACCUCAAGGGCCAGACUGCUGCUGGCUUUGCCUAACCAUGAUGGUCAAUGAACCUGCCUCCUAUAGAGUCUGCAGGAGCUCUCCUGAGAAGCGUGCCGAAUACAUACCCAGAUGAUUUUGUGAAAAAACUAAUUAGGUUGUUUGGUACAAAAGCUGCACAUGUUGAGAGUUUGUGAAGCUUCUGAGGUCCCAGAGAAUCAGGCUUCCUGGUGUCAUUAUCAAACACCAUCAGUUUUCAUUUUUACCUGAGGAGCAGUGGUACUGAAUUAAAAUCCAUCAAUCACCUCAACUCAUUGGGAUGUGCAGAGCUUGGACUGUGGGCUCCACACCAGGCUUAGAACCUGGACGACAGGAGCUAUGUAUGACACAGUCCUGACCUCUGAGGAGUUGAGAGCCCAUGCUUUAAGGAAGAAGUCCAAGUUUCUUAACUUAUGUGGGCUUUCACGUCCUGGCCCCGCCUCCUUCUGCCCUCUCUUCUCUGGGGCAGAUUUUUACUUUUUCAACAAAUAAAACGUGGGGCGGUCUGAAUCUCCUUGUGUCCACGGAAUUGGGCCCACCAUGUCCUUAUGCUGUCUGGGGGUCUUGGGGACGUCACCGUGCUCCUGGAGAGCUGGUGGCAAGUUCCUUAUGGCUGGCAAGACCUCCAGGGUCGUCCCGGUUUUCUUGUCAUCUUCACCUCUCAACUGAGAAAGCAGGAGGGGAGGAGGGGGUGGAGGCUUCAAUAUUUGAAAGCACCAAACCCAACAGAAUUUAUGUGGACACUGUAAUUAUUACUAGGCUGAAUUAAUGAACUCUGUCCUCUCCUUUUUUGGCUGGAAGAACAUAAAAAUCCCAAUGAAAGGAAACAGAUGUCUUUGCUCUGAGCAUUUCCAAAGGAAACAGCAGUUAAAAACUGAGACACCACAGAAAGCCCUGCUGAAUAACGGAGAUGCUCCAGUAGUGUUUCUGCUCCCCAGCUGCGUGUGAGCGGAGUGGGUGCCUCUGGCCAGCACAGCCCCCACAUCAGAGGAACCAUACCAACAGCGUCUUGGAAACGUUUGGGGAAAAGCUUGAGUCGUGCUUCUUGCUGCACUCCGUUUUCCUUUCAACCAAAAGCGGAGUCAAAGAAGUCGGUCCCCAGGAGAACUCGUGGGCUGGUAAUGAAGCGUGAUUUAUGAGCCAGGAGGAGCAAAGACCGCCCGCGGGGAGGGUGAUCCUCUGUGCUCAGUCUCUAGGCCCCGGGGUAGCCGGCCAGCGCUCGGGGUCACCCCUCAGUGGACGAGACCCCACAUCCCCAGCGGGAAGGGCCUUCGCCCAGGGUCACUGCUGUUAGGGAAUUCGAGGCCAGCCCUCCUUCUGGACUCUGUGUCCAGGGUGUGACCCUGGCUGGUGGCUUGGGUGCACUGGGGAAGCCCCCCUUUCUCCAUGCAGGCUGGAAGGACAAAUUUCUUUUCUCUCCAAGCAGGGAGGUCAGUGCCCACUGUUCCUCUUAGAGUCUGCUUUCCUGCAAAACAUCAGAGUGCAGAGUUCUGUCCAGGUUUUCAAAGAGGCCCAGGACUCAUCUUGUGUCUCUCCAUCUUUGCCUUGUUCAUCCUCCCUUCUCUUCCUUUCCUUCUACCAGUGCUGUUCAGAGACUGAGACUCAAGGGAAACAAGAGGGAAGCUUGGCACACCCCACUACAGUGGUGGGGACCCCAGAGGUGGCACUGGUGCUUGCUGUUGGCGGAGUCUAGUGGGGGCACCCAGCCCUGGGUGCCAGGUAGCCCGCAUGGUGGGCCAGGUGGGAGAGCACUGGUUUGCUUGGCUCUCUGGCAGCCCCUUUGGGACCAGGAGGCUCAACUUCGCUGGGCCCCUCUGCUGGCCCCAGCCCCGGCUGUGUUCCACGGGCCGAAGAGAGGGAAAGGCCCUGUGGCUCUCGACAUCAGAACAUUUGCUUUAAUAGAUGCCUUCAUCCCUCGAGGCCACUGGACCCUGCAGGGCUUGAAUGAAUCACCGGCUAAAAUGGAUAGGGCAUCAAGUGUCCAGAGGAGAUGAGGGCUGGGCUUCAGGUCAGCUCGACCAUUCUUACUCUCCUGUUGGAUCUUGUUUGUUGGAUGUUCUCAGGCAACUUUCGAAGGAUGUAGGUGGGUGUGCCCUGAUUUUGAUUUGUGGUUUAGCUGUCUACUUCUAAAUUAAAAUGCCCAGCAAACAAAAGGCCUGGCUCUUGGGUCCAGGAAGUGAAUUGUAGAAGCUUGGGGAAGGGUGAUGGGAGCAAGUGGGCACAGGCUGAGACGGGCUGAGAUGGGCUGGGACGGGCUGCAAGCUGGUUGAGGAUGAAGUUAAUCCUCAGUCCUGGAGGGUCGUGCCUGCCGGGAAUCUGAGCUGCCACUGCGUUAAUAGAAGGGCAGUGUUGAAGACACGAGGGCUCAUCCCACUCAGGCUUUGCUGGACCAUUGAGCAGUGCGACUGGUCCUGCAAGGGGCACCUCUCUCCACAUCAGGGUCACAUCGGAUGGGGAGCUUUGCCAAGACGAGAGCUGGGGCCUUGUGGGCCCGCACCCAUGCUGUAUGAGAAAUGGGGGAGGGGACACACACCUGGCUAAGAGAGCUGAUGAGCCCCUGGACGGUGUACGUGCUGUUCCCAUGAGGCUGGGCCAGGACACGCUGUGGGGGAGUGGGGCUCAGCAUGAAGGGACCCUCCAGUCGAGCCCCUGGGGGGCGAGGACCCCCUGAUGGGGAGAUUGCGUACCUACCUGUGGUGCGAGGGUCACAAAAAAGGUUGAAAUAAGUGACUUUAAAGUCUUCUCCAGCUGGGAGAUUUUUAUGAUUUUCAAAUGGACAAAUCUGUAUUCUUUAUGAGUUUGAGUGAAAUUUGGUAAGUGUGUCAGGAGGAGUCAAGCUCCUGGGUGACCCGUAAGAGCCACUGGGAACAACUGGAGCGGGACUUGGCUCCAUCUGUGCCCAGAGCCCACACCCUGUAUGACCCUGGAUUCUCCCUGUGGUUUGACGCCCUGGAGGCGUGCCUGCCUUGGUGACCCUGUCCACGCCCCUGUCCAUGUCAAGCAUGUCCCUGGGAGUGGAUGGUUAAUUGUCCAUGACUUUUGCUGAUCAUCAAGAAGUUGGUAGGGACCACAGAACACAGGAUUCGUUUCCCUCCUCUGACACUGCUGUGCAAACCCAUGCGUGUUCUGGGAGAGGCUGAGCCAGCCCUCUGUCUGGGCCGACAGCGAGGAGACAGGUCCAGGCCGCCUCCAAGGAACCUAACACACGGGAGCAAAGUGACAGCCCAGUCAUUCCAAGUUUCUGAUCUGGGGCCAGAAAGCAGGCUAUUCAAACCCUGAAGGCAAGUCCUCCUGCUUUUGUUUCUUCAAGAGAAACAGAGGGUAGGUGCCAGUCACCCUGGUGGGGCCCAGGGCAACUGGUUAGAAAUGUCUCUGAAGGCUGUGUGUUAAGGCCAUGUUUCUGAAGGCCCCCAGAGAAGAAGGGGUGACCGGGAAACUACAGAUCACACCCCCACCCCGCAUUCCUCCACCUGCUUAAAACAGGUCUCCGGGCCGCUUGGAGGGAAAGAGUAUCAGCUACCCAGGGGCCUCCUCACACCAACCCGCCGCUGCUCCGAGGAUCAUGGCGCCCACACUCCCAAGGCUGGAUGUCAGCUGCCUCACUGGGUCCCACUGGGCUCUCGGUGGGCACUGGGAUGCCCAAAGGACGCUGUUCUGGUCUGAGGGUGAGGACGACAUAUGAGCCUGCUUGGUACUUGCCUUUCUUAUCAUUCACCAUCCCCUUGGGGUGGGCAGGACCUUCUAGAAAGGCUCUGAGACUCUGGCUGGUGUGGAUAAGCUGCCAACAAAGGGACAACAGGUGUCUGAAGACCCUCAGCGGGGGUCACUCUCCAGGCUGACGUUUGAGACCAGGGUUCCCAGCUGGGUCACAGUCCCGGGGCAUGGCUGGCCAGUGAGGGAGACACAGACGUGAAAACAGGGGCAUGACUCAAGUGAGCUGAGGGCAGUGUGUGUGCUGUGUGUGCAUGAAUGUGCACAUGUGUGUGGUGGGACGGACAAGGAGGGGCUGAGGGAGAAAUAAUUGAUGAACUUGGGGAGAAGUUGAGCUGGACUUAUUCUGACCGCGCGUAGCCCUAGAGCGGUCAUGUUAUAAAUCAUUUUCUUAUGAGGAAUUCACUUCCUGAGCUUUGCACAACUUCCCAAGCCUGGCCUGUGCAUGAGAACAGAACCUAGAAAUCCAAGAAAAUGAUGGUUUGUGCAAAUGUGGUUGGAGACCACAGCGGGUGAUCCUGCCAGCUUGGGGGAGUGGGGGAUGGAUGGGCUUUGGCUCUUGCUCCCAGAGCCUCCAAGGCAGAACUUCCAAGAGCACUGGUGACCACAGGGCCUUGAACACUGGACUGAAAAGGGAAUUAAAAGGAAUUGGGGCCUGGGGAUGUUCCCUGGGUUGGAGCAUCAGUAUGGCUGCUGUUCCUCAAAACUGGGGUGUCCAAAGCCCACCUAGUGCUCUCUCUGGUCCCAUCUGCAAGCACAUCCGUGGUUCUGACACGUGUGGGCACACACUGUGUGUUCGGAAAUCGUGACUGAUGUAACUCGUGAAAAAUGAAAUCCUCGAACAAAUGAAUUGCUCUGGUCCUGAGUCAACAAGAAAGGUUCUUUCUUGAGUGGUGUCUUUUUCCUUCUGCCCCUUAGCUGCUCUAUGGCUGCUCUGUGUCAUCCAGAGCUUUCUUUGGGGAGGUUCUGUGAUGUCUCAGCCCAUGGAGGGUGCAGCUCAGAGCCUCCCGCACGUCCUGCCCAGGUUAGAGUAAAGUUGACCUGGGUGGAUACCUAAUCGACCAUCUGUUAAGGUGUAGCAGGCAAAUGGAGGGAGAGGCUCUGAAACUCUUCUGAGUGAGGUUCUGAGAUGUGUCAUUGCAUCUAAGGCACUGCAGUGAUCACGCUGCGGAGAUUAAAAUGAGUUUCACCAGCACCAUACGAGUGGGUCUGCUAACCCCGAAGGUCUGAGGACCCGGGGUCCCCUCUGCAGCUCAGACCACACUCGCCUGCCUCCUGGGCACUGCUCUCGGAUGGCGGGGUGCACCUAGGGUUCUCACCUCCCCGCCACCAGCAGCAGGAUGGCAGGUGCAGAGCAGACCCUUCCUGGGCGAAUGAUGACUGCCCCUCGGGGGGCCGGCAAACCCCUACUGCCCCAUGACCCCGUGUGCAGUGCCCUCCCUGAGGUUUCCCUGGGCAGAGGCCGCACAAGGACCAUCUCCAGGACUAGGCUGCAGCUUCCAGUGCCUGGCGCUCCAUAGUCACCAUAGCUCUUCCUCUCAAACUCUGCAGGGAGGCCUUGGUUUCUAUGGACAACCCUUUAGAAGUUGUGGCACGUGGGCGCAGUAGUUACGGCUCCCGGGUUCCAGAGCACAGGCUCAGUAGUUGUAGCUUGAGGGCUUAGUUACUCCACAGUAUGUGGGAUCUUCCUGAACCAGGGAUCAAACCUGCAUCUCCUGCAUUGGCAGGUGGAUUCUUAACCACUGAGGCACCAGGGAGGUCCGUGCAUAGUAUCUUGCACACACUGGACACCAAGUCAAGGAAAGCUGUGCUUCUUCUGCACUAAAAACUGAGGGGCGAGACUGGCUUGUGUAUUUCAUUUCUGUUCACUUUAGGAUUUAAAAUUCCUCUUGACAGUGUACAACAAAGACCAGUGGGAUAAGCACUUACCUCCCGACUGGGUGUUUAGAAGUCAUCAACUGGCUGAGCAGACAGAGCCCACCCUGAGCUCUCACCGUGGUGGUGGUUUAGUCACUAAGUCAUGUCCGACUCUUUGAGACACCAUGGACUGUAGCCUGCCAGGCUCCUCUGUCCAUGGGAUUCUUCAGACAAGAAUACUGGAGCGGGUUGCCAUUUCCUUGAUGGAUGGAUCUUGCCAUUUCCAGGAUCCAGGGAUCUUUCUGACCCAGAAAUCGAAUCCUGGUUUCCUGCACUGCAAGCAGAUUUUUUACCAACUGGAGCUACGAGGGAAGCCCUACUCUCAAGGCAAGCCCUUUCUUUUAAGAGAACAAACAGUGUUCUGGGCUCAUGUAUUAUGGCUGGAAAGAGCCACAAUAGGAAACCAAGGAAACAGCAGGCUGGAUGGUUCGCAUCAAAACCGCUGGGCAUUUUGCAAAGCAUCUCAAUGGAGCUAAUUAUAACCCCAGAAUCAUUCUGCCCGUUCCUGGUCUUCAGAAGGCAAAGCAGGCACUGACGUCAUGCGCUCCUUUGUUUGUUUAGCUGGUUUCUGAGGCACAGAGGAUUUAACCCACCGAAUCUGUGAACCACAAACCCAGCCUGUGAUGCCUGCUUGCAGUGGGCAGUGCUGGUGCUGCUGGCCAGGUGCUCGGGGCCCAUGGAAAGCACAUCUGCAGCGCGCCAUGCACAUCGUUCUCUCUGGGUGUUGGGCUACCUUGGCGCGAUGGAUUCUAAACUCCAUGAGACCAAUGCAGUGGGAAUUUCCCAGCCUCUAGGACUUGUGUUCCUGGCCUGUUCUCUCUGUGACUUUGAAUCCACGUGGUGAAGAUGCCAAACCCCGUCCAGAGCUUUAUGGCCAGCAAAACACUCUCAUACUCGUUGGUCUAUUUGUCCUCAGGACAAUCUGUGGGGUGGCCAGGACAGUGUGAUCAGAUGCAGGGUGAUUAAGUGUUCUUUGGUAGCAAGCAACACAAACCAGUUUUGGCUAACUUCAGCCAAAAAAAAAGAAUUUAUUGGGAGGCUAUAGAGGGGUUUUAUUUAUAAACUUUCUUAUUCUGCAAAUUAUUUUGCAUCCAUUUAUAAACAUGGGACAAUGCAGAAGAAAAAGCAGUCGAGGGAGUUAGAAUGAAUGGAAAAUAGAGGAUGGAGUUUGGGCUACUGAAGCCAAUAAAGGGUCCACAUCUGUCCGCUUGAUGGGAGAGUCCAAGGCAGCAGCCCUCCGUGGGCAUGGGCAACGGGAGGGUGGGAUUGUGUUCUGGGCUCUGUUGGCGAGUCUCUUGUCCAGCUCUCUGUAGUUUUUUCAGAAAAGAGAAAUACCCCCGGCUCUAUGCUUAUUGCCUCGAGCCACCUCCUUUUCUCUGUCUACUCCCUCAUCCUGGCUGAGAGCAGCCUUGCCGUGGCUUCAGCACCUUUCCUGAGCUCCAGCCUCCAGUUUCAGACUCCUCGCUGGAUGCUCCCACCUCCAGGCCCUGCACACGCUCAUCCUUAUUACGUCCACAACAGAAAGGAUCGUGUUUCUCCAUCUGUAUUUUUCUAGCUGGCACAUGAGCACAUGACAUUUCCCAUCUGGAAUGCCUCAGGCCCUUUCUCUUCUGCUUGGGGAAUGACUAUUGACCUUUUAAGUCCUGUUCAAAGGUCACCAUCUCCGAGGCUCCUGCCAAGUCCUCAGGAUAGAGUGGUCGCCGCCUCCUUGGUGUCCUGGCAUCUGGCCCCUGGUGGUCAUUGAGCCCAUGGGCUACUGUCACCCUCUGUGUGUCUUGUUCUAGGGCUCGCUUUGACCAACAUGUACGCCAGGAUCAGUGCAGCUUUGUCUGUGGGAAUUCCUCCAUAAAUGCUCCCUGAUGAAGAAGGCUGGGAUAGACUCGUUCCUGAUUGCCAGGAAGACAGUUGGAUCACUGCAUGCGAAGAUGCGAGCGCUCGGCCCAGCGAUGAAGAGAGACCCUGGAACUUCUCACCUGAGACCACACCUGCAGGUCUGGUUUGCGGCUAGAAUUGGAAAGGAUUUGUGUUUCCAUGGAAUGAAGACAUGUCAGAAUGAGCAGGCAGGUGGCAGAGAAUAAGGGAAAACAGACAAGGACCCAAGAAGCUCUAUAAGUUUUCACAGAGGGCAGCUGAUGCAGAAAUGCACGUUUGAAGAACAAACCGGGGUCUUUCAGAAAAGCAAAGAGAAGGACUUGAUCGCAUUACCCAAAGUACACGAAGGUUUACUUAAGAACUUGCAGAGCAGAGAAAGCUUUGCUCCCGAGAUGAAUCUUCUGUUCACCUAACAGUGACAAGUAGAUCCUGCAUUGUCACAGGGCACUCGGGACUGGGUCCCCAGCGGCUGCCUCCCCACGCCCCAGUGCCUGGUGCUGUAUGUCUGUCUGCUCUUCAAUCAGACUUUGACUCUAAUUUUACUAUUUGUUUUUCUGUUGUAUAUUGUGUAUACAUCCAAGAAGAUCCCCUGGAGAAGGAAAUGGCAACCCUCUCCAGUAUUCUUGCCUGGAGAAUUCCAUGGACAGAGGAGCCUGGUGGGCUAUAGUCCACGGGGUCGCAAAGAGUCAGACAUGACUCAACAACAUGUCUUAAUGACUAAAUGACAAAAAACAUAUUGUGGUUAAUUUUCUAAGUUGUCUCAAAUGUUCAUGGCUAUGUGUGCAUGUGUUCUUUUUCCUACUUACCUACCCACCUGCCUACCUGCUUACCUUCUUAAUUACCUACCCACCUGCCUUCCUACUUAACUACCUGCCAACCUACUUACUUACCUAUCUACCUUCUUAUUCACCUACUCACUGUCUUCCUAACCAUGUAUAUGGUACCCCAGAGGUGCUUAGUUGAAUUAAAGGAAGAACAUGAUGAGAUUGCUGUGCGGUGCUGUGCUCACUUGUUUCAGUCGUGUCUGACUCUUUGCGACCCUACGGACUGUAGCCCACCAGGCUCUGUCCAUGGGAUU
Bubalus bubalis (water buffalo) is the source of this 13588-nucleotide long non-coding RNA. RefSeq lists it as uncharacterized. NCBI's taxonomy places the organism in Eukaryota, Metazoa, Chordata, Mammalia, Artiodactyla, Bovidae. The transcript has 3 exons. The record is from RefSeq and is a predicted model, not a curated record.